GGGCCUGUAGUGUAGCUUGGAUAUCACGGGAGGCUUCGGACCUCCAAAGCGGGGUUCAAAUCCCUGCAGGCCCACCA
RNAcentral lists this transfer RNA (77 nucleotides) under Candidatus Undinarchaeales archaeon. Its description in RNAcentral is "tRNA-Arg". It matches the Rfam family "tRNA". From Rfam's summary of the family: Transfer RNA (tRNA) molecules are approximately 80 nucleotides in length. Their secondary structure includes four short double-helical elements and three loops (D, anti-codon, and T loops). The record is from RNAcentral. Lineage: Archaea; Nanobdellati; Candidatus Undinarchaeota; Candidatus Undinarchaeia; Candidatus Undinarchaeales.